This 409-nucleotide ribosomal RNA is filed under the name bacterium. RNAcentral describes it as "partial 16S ribosomal RNA". It matches the Rfam family "Bacterial small subunit ribosomal RNA", at positions 355 to 776 of the family's 1533-position model. The record is from RNAcentral.
UGGGGAAUAUUGCACAAUGGGCGAAAGCCUGAUGCAGCGACGCCGCGUGAGGGAUGACGGCCUUCGGGUUGUAAACCUCUUUCAGUAGGGACGAAGCGCAAGUGACGGUACCUGCAGAAGAAGCACCGGCUAACUACGUGCCAGCAGCCGCGGUAAUACGUAGGGUGCGAGCGUUGUCCGGAAUUACUGGGCGUAAAGAGCUCGUAGGCGGUUUGUCACGUCGUCUGUGAAAUCCUAGGGCUUAACCCUGGACGUGCAGGCGAUACGGGCUGACUUGAGUACUACAGGGGAGACUGGAAUUUCUGGUGUAGCGGUGGAAUGCACAGAUAUCAGGAAGAACACCGAUGGCGAAGGCAGGUCUCUGGGUAGUAACUGACGCUGGGGAGCGAAAGCAUGGGUAGCGAACAGG